UUAAGCAUAUCAAUAAGCGGAGGAAAAGAAACCAACAGGGAUUGCUCUAGUAACGGCGAGUGAAGCAGCAAUAGCUCAAAUUUGAAAUCUGGCGUCUUCGACGUCCGAGUUGUAAUUUGUAGAGGAUGCUUCUGAGUAACCACCGACCUAAGUUCCUUGGAACAGGACGUCAUAGAGGGUGAGAAUCCCGUAUGCGGUCGGAAAGGUGCUCUACACGUAGCUCCUUCGACGAGUCGAGUUGUUUGGGAAUGCAGCUCUAAAUGGGAGGUAAAUUUCUUCUAAAGCUAAAUAUUGGCCAGAGACCGAUAGCGCACAAGUAGAGUGAUCGAAAGAUGAAAAGCACUUUGGAAAGAGAGUUAAAAAGCACGUGAAAUUGUUAAAAGGGAAGGGAUUGCAACCAGACUUGCUCGCGGUGUUCCGCCGGUCUUCUGACCGGUCUACUCGCCGCGUUGCAGGCCAGCAUCGUCUGGUGCCGCUGGAUAAGACUUGAGGAAUGUAGCUCCCUCGGGAGUGUUAUAGCCUCUUGUGAUGCAGCGAGCGCCGGGCGAGGUCCGCGCUUCGGCUAGGAUGCUGGCGUAAUGGUCGUAAUCCGCCCGUCUUGAAACACGGACCAAGGAGUCUAACAUCUAUGCGAGUGUUCGGGUGUCAAACCCCUACGCGUAAUGAAAGUGAACGGAGGUGAGAACCGCAAGGUGCAUCAUCGACCGAUCCUGAUGUCUUCGGAUGGAUUUGAGUAAGAGCAUAGCUGUUGGGACCCGAAAGAUGGUGAACUAUGCCUGAAUAGGGUGAAGCCAGAGGAAACUCUGGUGGAGGCUCGCAGCGGUUCUGACGUGCAAAUCGAUCGUCAAAUUUGGGUAUAGGGGCGAAAGACUAAUCGAAC
Molecule: ribosomal RNA, 880 nt
Filed under: Cladosporium asperulatum
Lineage: Eukaryota; Fungi; Ascomycota; Dothideomycetes; Cladosporiales; Cladosporiaceae
Description: partial large subunit ribosomal RNA
Rfam family: Eukaryotic large subunit ribosomal RNA
Source: RNAcentral